Molecule: ribosomal RNA, 885 nt
Filed under: uncultured bacterium
Lineage: Bacteria
Description: bacterial SSU rRNA
Rfam family: Bacterial small subunit ribosomal RNA
Source: RNAcentral
UGAUUAUGGCUCAGGAUGAACGCUGGCGGCGUGCCUAACACAUGCAAGUCGAACGAUAGUAGCAAUACUAUAGUGGCGCACGGGUGAGGAACACGUAGCUAACCCUGCCCCAAAGUGCGGGAUAACGUUCCGAAAGGAACGCUAAUACCGCAUAAGCUCACGCGAAGUAGAGGCGAGUGAGAAAAGAUUUAUCGCUUUGGGAGGGGGCUGCGGCCUAUCAGGUAGUUGGUGGGGUAAAAGCCUACCAAGCCGACGACGGGUAGGGGGUCUGAGAGGAUGAUCCCCCACACUGGGACUGAGACACGGCCCAGACUCCUACGGGAGGCAGCAGUGAGGGAUAUUGCACAAUGGGGGAAACCCUGAUGCAGCGACGCCGCGUGGGUGAUGAAGGCUUUCGGGUCGUAAAACCCUUUUCUAGGUGACGAGGAAGGACGGUAGCCUAGGAAUAAGUCUCGGCUAACUACGUGCCAGCAGCCGCGGUAAAACGUAGGAGGCAAGCGUUAUCCGGAGUUACUGGGCGUAAAGCGCGCGCAGGUGGUUGGAUAAGUGGGGCGUGAAAUAUCCCGGCUAAACCGGGAGGGGACGAACCAGACUAUCCGACUGGAGUACAGUAGAGGAACGCGGAAUUCGGGGUGUAGCGGUGAAAUGUGCAGAGAUCCCGAGGAACACCAGAGGUGAAGACGGCGUUCUGGGCUGUAACUGACACUGAGGCGCGAAAGCGUGGGGAGCGAACGGGAUUAGAGACCCGGUAGUCCACGCCGUAAACGAUGCUAGCUAGAUGUCUGGGCCGCGCAAGCGGAGUGGGCGUCGAAGCCAACGCGAUAAGCUAGCCGCCUGGGGAGUACGGUCGCAAGGCUAAAACUCAAAUGAAUUGACGAAUCCCGC